AGGAUUAACGCUGGCGGCGUGCCUAACACAUGCAAGUCGAACGAGGUAGCAAUACCUAGUGGCAGACGGGUGAGUAACGCGUGGUCAACCUACCGUUGAGUGGGGGAUAACUAGCCGAAAGGUUAGCUAAUACCGCAUACGAGUCUCGGGGGCAUCCCUGGGCCUUAAAAGGAGCAAUCCGCUCGAUGACGGGACCGCGUCCCAUUAGCUAGAUGGUGGGGUAACGGCCUACCAUGGCACCGAUGGGUAGCUGGUUUGAGAGAGCGACCAGCCACACUGGGACUGAGAAACGGCCCAGACUCCUACGGGAGGCAGCAGUGAGGAAUUUUCCGCAAUGGGCGAAAGCCUGACGGAGCGACGCCGCGUGUGGGAAGAAGGCCUUCGGGUCGUAAACCACUGUCGAAGGGGACGAGUAAUGACGGUACCCUUGGAGGAAGCCCCGGCUAACUACGCGCCAGCAGCCGC
This 465-nucleotide ribosomal RNA is filed under the name uncultured bacterium. RNAcentral describes it as "SSU rRNA". It matches the Rfam family "Bacterial small subunit ribosomal RNA", at positions 26 to 518 of the family's 1533-position model. The record is from RNAcentral.